CCUACGGGAGGCAGCAGUGAGGAAUAUUGGUCAAUGGGCGCGAGCCUGAACCAGCCAAGUAGCGUGAAGGAUGACUGCCCUACGGGUUGUAAACUUCUUUUAUAAAGGAAUAAAGUGCGGCACGUGUGCCUCUUUGCAUGUACUUUAUGAAUAAGGAUCGGCUAACUCCGUGCCAGCAGCCGCGGUAAUACGGAGGAUCCGAGCGUUAUCCGGAUUUAUUGGGUUUAAAGGGAGCGUAGACGGGUUGUUAAGUCAGUUGUGAAAGUUUGCGGCUCAACCGUAAAAUUGCAGUUGAUACUGGCAGUCUUGAGUACAGUUGAGGUAGGCGGAAUUCGUGGUGUAGCGGUGAAAUGCUUAGAUAUCACGAAGAACUCCGAUUGCGAAGGCAGCUUACUAAACUGUCACUGACGUUGAUGCUCGAAAGUGUGGGUAUCAAACAGGAUUAGAUACCCUUGUAGUC
RNAcentral lists this ribosomal RNA (460 nucleotides) under uncultured bacterium. RNAcentral's name for it is "partial 16S ribosomal RNA". It matches the Rfam family "Bacterial small subunit ribosomal RNA", at positions 338 to 795 of the family's 1533-position model. The record is from RNAcentral.